AGUUAUAAGAAUAGCGAAGGAUUUAGGCUUGUGCUUUUUUUGUUUCUUCUUCCAUUUGACGUAGGUAUGUGACUAAAAAUCUUAAAUUACGUGGAUUACUCUGAUCUUUAUAUCACUGGAAAAGGCUGAAAGAGACUGUAAAUGACCUAGAUUCAGCCCAUCGCCUUUUUAUUUUGUAAUUCUAAUUUCUUUUUGUAUAAUGUGGUUGGGACUUUUAUUUUGAAGGAAUGUAAAGACGCGCUAACCGGAAGUCAUCAGUGAAGCGAACGUGAAGGCUGCAUGUGCUUCGUGUCUGCCAAAACGAUUAUAAAAACAAAGUUAAAGGUUUAAAAAAGUAAAGUUUAUGAUUUUCUUAUAGCACCUGGUUGACAAGGGAACAAGCUCUUACGGUGUGUUCACACAUACAAGGCUGAAUAAAAGGAUUGUGAACCAUCAGUUUGAGAGACCAUCUUUUCAACCGGGGAUGCUACAGAGACCAUUCCAAAGGAGAUGAUACGACGGAGUAUUAGGGUCACCGAAAAAAAAAGGGAGUCUACAUUCCAGCGAAUUUAUGCCGUGAACUGAAGUAGACCAACCAAACUGUGAAAAGCGUCUUGGAUUUCAUCAGGUAAACUGAAUGUUUAAA
RNAcentral lists this long non-coding RNA (625 nucleotides) under Oryzias javanicus (javanese ricefish). RNAcentral's name for it is "lncRNA (ENSOJAG00000007148.1)". The record is from RNAcentral. Lineage: Eukaryota; Metazoa; Chordata; Actinopteri; Beloniformes; Adrianichthyidae.